RNAcentral lists this ribosomal RNA (332 nucleotides) under uncultured eukaryote. RNAcentral's name for it is "partial 18S ribosomal RNA". It matches the Rfam family "Eukaryotic small subunit ribosomal RNA", at positions 1470 to 1796 of the family's 1831-position model. The record is from RNAcentral.
CCCUUAGAUGUUCUGGGCUGCACACGUGCUACACUGGCAGGUUCAGCGAGCUUCAUGCCCUGAUCUGAAAGGAAUGGGAAAUCUUUUCAAAACCUGCCGUGCUUGGGAUAGAUGUUUGCAAUUAUUCAUCUUCAACGAGGAUUGCCUUGUAAGCGCACGUCAUCAGUGUGCAUUGAAUACGACCCUGUAUUCUGUACACACCGCCCGUCGCUCCUACCGAUUGAAGUUUUCGGUGAGUUGACAGGAGGAUUUUUUUGAAACUGGUUCGCCAGUGGAUUUUAGAUCCAAAUGCCAACGAAUCGAUGGCUUUAGAGGAAGGAGAAGUCGUAACA